GUGGUCAUGGAGGGCAAUUAAGGCAUUUGCUAUGGCUGAACUAGAAGCUAGAAAGCUCAAAUAUGCAAAUGCAGGGACGGAGGCUCUUCUUAUGGGUGUCUUGAUUGAAGGUAGUGACCAAUUUUGCCUAUGUUAAGCUUUUCAUUUUCUAUGGGAAGUUAUGUUUUUCAUUAGUUAUUUAAAUUCCAGUUGCACGUAAUCACCUAAUUGAGUUGUCCGGGUGCAAAAUCUGUUUUGUUACUAAAACUUAUAAAUUUGUUUUAAAAUUUUUUUAAUACUCCAUAUUUAACAACAAUAUCAAAUAGGCCCAGAGUGGGUGGAGGGGAAUGAGCAGCCAAGUGAAAGUGAGAUGUGAGAUGUGCGAGAUGAGUAUACUUGGAUUAUGGCGCAAAUUGAACUUGUUGUAUUCUUAAUAUGCUGAAUUGAGUUUGUUGGUAAUUAUGUAAGAUAAAAAGAAAUUGGGAGAGCUUUUACUUUUUUUAUACCAGAUUUUGGGAAUUACUAUGCAUUUCUAAUUAUAAUCUGUAUAUUAGUAUUUGAUUUUAUCCUACUUGGAGUUAGAACUAACCGAUUAGUUUUGAACUUUCAUCCUUAUAAGCCCUUUGAACUUGUAUUAUUUAGAUGUUAACAUUGGCUUUGUUGUUU
RNAcentral lists this unclassified non-coding RNA (645 nucleotides) under Hevea brasiliensis (rubber tree). Lineage: Eukaryota; Viridiplantae; Streptophyta; Magnoliopsida; Malpighiales; Euphorbiaceae. The record is from RNAcentral.